AGUGAACGCUGGCGGUAGGCCUAACACAUGCAAGUCGAACGGCAGCACAGUAAGAGCUUGCUCUUACGGGUGGCGAGUGGCGGACGGGUGAGGAAUACAUCGGAAUCUACUUUUUCGUGGGGGAUAACGUAGGGAAACUUACGCUAAUACCGCAUACGACCUACGGGUGAAAGCAGGGGAUCUUCGGACCUUGCGCGAUUGAAUGAGCCGAUGUCGGAUUAGCUAGUUGGCGGGGUAAAGGCCCACCAAGGCGACGAUCCGUAGCUGGUCUGAGAGGAUGAUCAGCCACACUGGAACUGAGACACGGUCCAGACUCCUACGGGAGGCAGCAGUGGGGAAUAUUGGACGAUGGGCGCAAGCCUGGUCCAGCCAUACCGCGUGGGUGAAGAAGGCCUUCGGGUUGUAAAGCCCUUUUGUUGGGAAAGAAAAGCAGCAGGUUAAUACCCCGCUGUUCUGACGGUACCCAAAGAAUAAGCACCGGCUAACUUCGUG
RNAcentral lists this ribosomal RNA (492 nucleotides) under uncultured bacterium. RNAcentral describes it as "partial 16S ribosomal RNA". It matches the Rfam family "Bacterial small subunit ribosomal RNA", at positions 29 to 507 of the family's 1533-position model. The record is from RNAcentral.